CUCGGCGGAACGCUGACGGUGUUUGCACUGCCGCAGUAAAGCUGCACGCAGAUGCACAACGAAACGCUUCCGGCGCGUGGAACAUUUUCACGCGCCGGGUCAUUUUAUUUCCUGCAUCCGACAUUCACAUUUCGAGGCGCGCUCGUGUACAUCGGUAUCAUUGCCGUAGCGGUACUGGCUGGGGNNNNCUGGGAGGCGUGGCGUUCGCGGACGGAAGCGGCGAUCCUGCCGCCGUCAAGAACGAGAACG
This 249-nucleotide unclassified non-coding RNA is filed under the name Hevea brasiliensis (rubber tree). Lineage: Eukaryota; Viridiplantae; Streptophyta; Magnoliopsida; Malpighiales; Euphorbiaceae. The record is from RNAcentral.